Molecule: ribosomal RNA, 436 nt
Filed under: Anaspides clarkei
Lineage: Eukaryota; Metazoa; Arthropoda; Malacostraca; Anaspidacea; Anaspididae
Description: partial 16S ribosomal RNA
Rfam family: Bacterial large subunit ribosomal RNA
Source: RNAcentral
UAAAGGGCCGCGGUAUAUUGACCGUGCGAAGGUAGCAUAAUCAUUAGUCUUUUAAUUGAAGGCUGGAAUGAAUGGUUGAACAAAAAAUAUCCUGUCUCACUAUUAAAAUUAAAAUUUGACUUUUAAGUAAAAAGGCUUAAAUAACAUAGAAUGACGAUAAGACCCUAUAAAGCUUUAUAUUGAAAAAAUAAUUAAUAAGUUUAAAUUUAAAAAUUAUUUAUUUUAAAAAUAUUAUGUUGGGGCGACAAAAAUAAAAAUUGUAACUGUUUAUUUAUUAAAAACUAUAAUAAAAGAAAAAGUGAUCCUUUAAUAAAGAUUAAAAGAUUAAGUUACUUUAGGGAUAACAGCGUAAUCUUUUUUAAGAGUUCAUAUCGACAAAAAGACUUGCGACCUCGAUGUUGAAUUAAGAAGUCCUUUUGGUGUAGCAGUUAAAAAG